This 465-nucleotide ribosomal RNA is filed under the name Vreelandella stevensii. Its description in RNAcentral is "partial 16S ribosomal RNA". It matches the Rfam family "Bacterial small subunit ribosomal RNA", at positions 338 to 795 of the family's 1533-position model. Lineage: Bacteria; Pseudomonadati; Pseudomonadota; Gammaproteobacteria; Oceanospirillales; Halomonadaceae. The record is from RNAcentral.
CCUACGGGGGGCUGCAGUGGGGAAUAUUGGACAAUGGGGGGAACCCUGAUCCAGCCAUGCCGCGUGUGUGAAGAAGGCCCUCGGGUUGUAAAGCACUUUCAGUGAGGAAGAACGCCUGGUGGUUAAUACCCAUCAGGAAAGACAUCACUCACAGAAGAAGCACCGGCUAACUCCGUGCCAGCAGCCGCGGUAAUACGGAGGGUGCGAGCGUUAAUCGGAAUUACUGGGUGUAAAGCGCGCGUAGGUGGCUUGAUAAGCCGGUUGUGAAAGCCCCGGGCUCAACCUGGGAACGGCAUCCGGAACUGUCAAGCUAGAGUGCAGGAGAGGAAGGUAGAAUUCCCGGUGUAGCGGUGAAAUGCGUAGAGAUCGGGAGGAAUACCAGUGGCGAAGGCGGCCUUCUGGACUGACACUGACACUGAGGUGCGAAAGCGUGGGUAGCAAACAGGAUUAGAUACCCUAGUAGUC